AGUGAACGCUGGCGGUAGGCCUAACACAUGCAAGUCGAACGGCAGCACAGUAAGAGCUUGCUCUUACGGGUGGCGAGUGGCGGACGGGUGAGGAAUACAUCGGAAUCUACUUUUUCGUGGGGGAUAACGUAGGGAAACUUACGCUAAUACCGCAUACGACCUACGGGUGAAAGCAGGGGAUCUUCGGACCUUGCGCGAUUGAAUGAGCCGAUGUCGGAUUAGCUAGUUGGCGGGGUAAAGGCCCACCAAGGCGACGAUGCGUAGCUGGUCUGAGAGGAUGAUCAGCCACACUGGAAGUGAGAGACGGUCCAGACUCCUACGGGAGGCAGCAGUGGGGAAUAUUGGACAAUGGGGGAAAGCCUGAUCCAGCGAUACCGCGUGGGUGAAGAAGGCCUUCGGGUUGUAAAGGCCUUUUGUUGGGAAAGACAAGCAGCAGGUUAAUACCCCGCUGUUCUGACGGUACCCAAGGAAUAAGCACCGGCUAACUUCGUG
Molecule: ribosomal RNA, 492 nt
Filed under: uncultured bacterium
Lineage: Bacteria
Description: partial 16S ribosomal RNA
Rfam family: Bacterial small subunit ribosomal RNA
Source: RNAcentral